UUGACAGGGAGAGAGAGAAAGCACAACAGCAGGAGCAAGAGGCAGCAGGAGAGGGAGAAGCAGGCUCCCCGUGGGGCACAGAGCCCGAUGCCAGAUCCAGAUCGGAUUGGAUCCCAGGACCCUGGGGUCAUGACCUGAGCCAAAGUAAGAGCGGGAUUGAAUGAUCCCAGUAUUUCCUGUGGGUACUCCCGAGCUCUGAGCUAAUAGAUGAUCUUCUAGCCUUUAGAUGAUCUUCUCAGGAUGCCAUCAUUGGCCUGGAACAUCCUCCAUUAAUCCAGAAUGUAGGAAAAAAUACACAUCAGUUUGGGAAAGGCUGGACAAGAGUUUCCUCAUUCAUCAUUCUAUUUCUGGAAACAUAAAAUAUCCCUCCAAACUUCAUUGUGGAGACAUUGAAAUGAGAAGAUCCAUUCACCAAGUGAUUUUCUUCUAGGCUCUGCGUUAUCUUAGAUCAGAAGACUUGGAUAGAUCUUGAUUAGCAGCACACUUCUUGUCCAGGAGCCCCAGGACAUCUCUAGCUCAAAUCGUAGCAUUUAAAAAGCGGUCGUGAAUCUGUCGAGGGAUACUGUCCCGUGGACACCUGCUAUAAAUCCGAGUCAGUGAUAUACUUUGGCAACGUUACUUUCCAAGUGUUUCUGUUUGAUAUAAUCAGGCCUGACCGCCAGCUUAUGUUUCUGUCAAGUCUAUUAGGUAUAAUUUUUAGUUGAUGUAAUUCUUUUAAAGCCAAAUCAGAGUGCUGUGCGGUAAA
This is a long non-coding RNA of Canis lupus familiaris (dog), 745 nucleotides long. RefSeq lists it as uncharacterized. The record is from RefSeq and is a predicted model, not a curated record. The transcript has 4 exons. Lineage: Eukaryota; Metazoa; Chordata; Mammalia; Carnivora; Canidae.